AGCCCAUUACACUUAAAAUACCCAUUACACUAGAAGAACGGGAAAAAAUCGAACGGGAAAAAAUCAAAAAAUAAGGAACCCCAACUUCGUUACUUUCUCUUCUUUGUUCCUACUUCUUCUUCACGAUUUCAACUUCAAACUCAGUAUGGAGCUCAAAAUGUUUGCAUCUAGAAGUUGUUUGAAGAUUGUAGGCUGAGGGAUUAAAUAUAAUGCUAGCACAUCAAGCAAUUUGCCUUCAACCCCUGAUGUUGCAAAUGAUGAUGAUUUCGAGUCCUCUGUUGUUCUUACAAAGAGUUGUCAACAAGAAAGUACCCGAAUCACUCGAUCGCAGACGAAGAAAUUUGAUAAUCUUGUGAAGAAUAUCAAGCCGAGGACUAAGAAAUGUGGUCGACCUGAGAAAGCUAAAGUGAGGUUGAAACUUGUUGAUGAAGAUGAGGCUGCCAAAAAGAAAAAAAAGAGAAAGCUAAGGUCGUCAAUGUUGCUGAAUGUAGUUCUUAUGCAUUAUCGAUAGAACAAAAGGAAUCUAUUCGAUGUAAAUUUAAUGAAAGAAAAUCUCAGUUAAAGAGGUUGGUGACUUCUAUAUAUAACCGAAUGAACAUUUUCGGACUAGGAUUAGUUGUCAUACCAAGACUAAUAUUGUCAGAUUUUUGAGGGAAUACUUGAGUGAUACGCAGCUUCAAAUCUUCCGUGAUAGUUGUUUUGGAUAUUUCUUAGACCUGCCUCCUUUUAAGAUUCAGAACCAGCUUAUACAUUGCAAUUUACUGAGGGAGGUUGUCCUCGGUAUGUUAAGAGAGUUGUGGAUUAAACUCAACGAUUGUAUAUUGAGUUCUGGUAUUGGAGAGUUUGCUGUUAUUACGGGUUUGAAGUGUGUUGAAGAUGAUGCAACUAUGUAUGACAAACCAAACACCAGUAGCUUGAUGGAAAUGUAUUUUUCAGGAAACAUAUCAAUAACGAGGGAGCAGUUGCUUACUCGCUUUAAGGAAAAGGAAUGGAAGUCGGAUGAUGAUGCAUUCAAGAUGGGUUUGAUGGAUUGGAGGGUUUCCGCUUGCACUACAGACUUGGUUUUUUAAAUGUUGCUCUACAGUCGAUAAAAUGCUCGCUGUUCGUGUUGGCAAUAAUGUGCCACGUAUUCUUAACUGGAAAGUGAUUGAUUCUCCGACGUAUACGUUCUUGACUGAUGAUGUGCUCAUGCCUAGUAUCGACAAAAUGAAGUACUGCAACAUUUCUCCUACCACUGAGGAAAAAAUACACUUGAAAAUUGCUGCAUUCUUUGAAGAUAUCAAUGCCGACCAUGUUUCUUCACAGGGUUUGCCCAUUUUUCAGAAUGAAGAUUCUAACAUUGCACCCCUACCACUUUCUCAGAAUAUAGAGCAGCCUAAACAACCUCAUUCUCAGAAUAAGGAGCAACAACCUGUAUUGAGACGCGAUCCUUUCAGGAGAAGUGAUGGGUUGACGGCUGAAGUUGCUCAGUUGAGGAGUGACGUCUCAAAGCUUACUGGUAAAGUUGAGGCGCUCAACACUUACAUUGUAUAUUCCUUUGGAAUCAUAUUCAAGCAUUUGAAAAUUAAGCAACCGAGUGAUUAAGAAAAUGCUGAUGAGGACGGUUCAUCUGAUCAAGGCAAUGAUAGGCUUGACAAUGAUGAUUAUGUUCCACCUCCUUCCCCCCUCUCCCCUCCCGAACAAGCGCAUGAUCUAAAUAUGCAAGGUGACUAAAUAACGUCAAGUGUCAAGGGAAAUGAAGAGGGUACUAAUGUUCCCCCCCUCGAGCAAGUGUAUGACCUAAACUUGCGAUCUGACCAAAAUGCAUCAUGUGUCAAGGGAUAUCAACAAAUUACUGAUGGUCUUCCUGGAAGUGAUGGUGUUGAGCCCUCCGAGCAAGUGCAUGAAGUAAACAUGCAACAUAACCAAACAAAAUCAAGUGGACAAAAUCAAGUGUUAAGGAAAAUGAGGAAGUUACUGAUGGUCAUCUUGUGGAAGCAGUUGAGGACGAUCCCUGGUGUGGUAUUACUGAUGAAGACUUUGAUAAUAUAAAGAUGUCAAGUGUCAAGGGAAAUGUAGAGGGUGGUGAUGUUCCCCCCCUGGAGCAAGUGCAUAAUCAACAAAUUACCGAUGGUCUUCCUGCAAGUCAUGGUGUUGAGCCCCCCGAGCAAGUGCAUGAAGUAAACAUGCAACCUGACCUAACAAAAUUAUGUGUCAAGGAAGUUACUGAUGGUAUGAUUUACUGUAGAAGUCAUACAUCUGCUGCCAAUACUAUAGAAGUCCAUGUCCAAAUAGAGUAGGAUCUGAUACCAAAUUCUGUAUUUAUGAAACAAACUUGUACCAAGUCCUUUCCCAGAUAAAUAUGAUCAGUGGUACAAAUAUGUUUGAAACUUCCUGAAGUAUAGCAGUUUCUGUCUAUUGUCAACCUCUCAACAGAUUGGGCACCAACUGUCAAUACCACACCUUGAGAGAUAGUCAAUAAACAGAUCCUAUAUAACAUGUUUAGUUCCCUUCCUAUAUUUCCUGAAAACCAGCAAAUCAGGUCUGUCAUACCAAUUGGUGUUUAAGUUUUUACUUGCAUUCAGUCCUACAAAAAAGAAACCAUGGUUUU
This is an RNA transcript of Lycium barbarum (goji berry), 2590 nucleotides long. RefSeq lists it as uncharacterized. The transcript is spliced from 9 exons. The record is from RefSeq and is a predicted model, not a curated record. NCBI's taxonomy places the organism in Eukaryota, Viridiplantae, Streptophyta, Magnoliopsida, Solanales, Solanaceae.